UCUUCAUGACCGCAAGGAAAAUCUCUCUUUUGAGAACAGACAUGUUUUUCUUCCAAGAGAUGUCAUGAGAUCUUUUCUCCUCCUUAGAAUUUCCUCUGCCUGGCUCCUGCUGGCUGAUGCAAAUGGAUUCAAAAGGGCAGCGGGCCCAGCCCUCCAGAUGACCAUCCAUUUCACCAAAAGAAGAAGAAGAAGAAGAAGCAAUUCUGGGCAGCGUGCAACAAUAAAACAACAAAUAUAAAAACAACAGAUAUAAAACUCCACAUUAAAAGGGAGUGUUCUGCAACUUGGUACAGACUGCAACUGCUAGACUUCCCAGCUAGGAAAGGAAUUCUGUAGAUUCAAUUCAUCUUGAGAGAACUGGACCAUGUAAGCGCCUGCUGAGACCUGAUUUUCCCACCAAAGGGCUGUGAUGGUGGCUUAUUCCCAGGAUUUCUUUGUCUGAAACAACAACCUACCCGCUAAUAUUUCAACCUCCGACUUGUUUAUAGGAUGGAUGGAUGAAUCAGCACUUGGAAUGGACAGAGAAGAAAGCAAUGCAGAACUUUGGCAUAAUGAGGGGAUCUUAUUCCGGUUCAACAUUUAAAAGUUCAUGGAAACAAUAGCAGGUGUCUUUGUCUGUACAGUUAAACAUCCAAAAUAUAAGUAUGUACUAACUGACUAAUGAGGCUGAGAUGUCAAGGAGUGACUAGGGAAAUUUGCUCAUUAAGCAUUUGCAAAUUACUUUUGUCUGCAAAGAGAACUUAUAAAAGGGAAAGGAAUCACG
Crotalus tigris (Tiger rattlesnake) is the source of this 763-nucleotide long non-coding RNA. RefSeq lists it as uncharacterized. The transcript is spliced from 3 exons. The record is from RefSeq and is a predicted model, not a curated record. NCBI's taxonomy places the organism in Eukaryota, Metazoa, Chordata, Lepidosauria, Squamata, Viperidae.